AAGUUUCACCAUGUAUCACUGAGUCAUUUCAUUCAGCAUUACCAUUGGUUUCUUAAAUCUCGUCUAUGAGUGAGAUCAUUGGGUACUCAUCCAAGCACCAUCUACUACAGUUUAAAAUUUAGUUUACAGGAAAGAGAAGGGCAGUAGGAAUUCAGAAGGAAAGAAAGAACUCUCAUUGAAGGUAAGGAGCUGGGACCUGGCUUGCCACGUCGCCCCCGAGCUGGCGCUUGAGUCUGCGCUCUGCGGGGCCUGGAGCCUCCCAGCCAUUCCAGCCGGGACGGACAGAGGGACAGUCCCCACCGCCACCGCCACCGCCCCCCCCCCCCCCCCAGCUCCCACAGGAGCCCCGCCCGGCCACCCGGUCGGUCCGCAAGGAGGAGCCCGCGAGGCGGCCGCGAGAGAUCGCAACCUAAUCAACGCAACGAGUGCCACCCCAGUAUGCUUCACUUCAGACUGUGUCCAGAGACUUCAGGUGUGGAAUGACAACCCUUCAGCUUCAUCACUCAGCCACAAGGUUCCAGAUGCCAGCAUGAUGCCGACCAGACUUCCCUGGACUGACGACCCCACCAAUGUGUCCUGGAGCCCCAAUUCCCCAGAGACCCACCCUACUAGGGAAAGAGAGAGGCAGGCUGGGAGUAUGGAUCACCAGUCAAUACCCAUGUUCAG
Erinaceus europaeus (western European hedgehog) is the source of this 666-nucleotide long non-coding RNA. RefSeq lists it as uncharacterized. The transcript has 4 exons. The record is from RefSeq and is a predicted model, not a curated record. Lineage: Eukaryota; Metazoa; Chordata; Mammalia; Eulipotyphla; Erinaceidae.